GUGGCAUUAGAUGACAAAAAUCGAGGUUGGCCUUUCCCUCCUGGCAUUUUUUUCAGAGCCCCCAAUACCACACCAAGCUGAGUCCCCGCUUAUGCUUCAGCUCUGAAAAUACUUUAAGGAGUCCCAACACACACAAUCCUGUGGAAGAACCAGUCCUCUGAUAAUUGAGAUCUUAAUACUGAAAGACUGAGCAGGUUUCCCUCAGCUGCCACAGCUUGGCCGUGGAGAGCUUAUGAAAAGAAAAUACAUACAUUGAGACUUACUUGAAAUAGCCAGCAGGUCGAAACCUGGAGAUUUCUGGAAGCAGCCAUGCUGGGAAGGAGCACUUGUUAACCAGCUGGUUAUAAAACCCCUCUUAUGGUCAUGUCUUGCUGUAAAUACAUAAUCAUAGAAUCACAGAAUGGUUAGAGUUGGAAGGGACCUUAAAGAUCAUCAAGUUCCAAUCCCCCCGCCAGGGGAUUGAACCCCUCCAGGGAUGGGGCAGCCACAGCUUCUCUGGGAAACCCGUUCCAGGGUCUCACCAUCCUCACAGUAAAGAAUUUCUUCCUAAUAUCUAAUCUAAAUCUCCCCUCUUUCAGUUUAAAACCAUUACUCCUCGUCCUAUCACUGCACUCCCUAAUAAAAAGUCCCUCCCCCAAUGUUGCAAGUCGCAAAUACUGGCAGGGCUGGUAGGAUUGCACCCAUCCAUCUCCAGAAUCACCUCCAUAUGCACACUCACCCCAUCAUCUUCCAGCUGGACACAUGCAGACACACCAUGUGCAAGGAUGGCCAGGACAAGCACAAGUGAGAGCCCAAGAUACGUCGGCAGCAAAGAUGUUCCUGCAAAAAUUGUUUGUUGGACACUCAGGUACCUGAGUAUCUGGAUUGCAAAACGCACGCAGGGCAGGACAAAACCCUCACGUCUUCAGGAGAAACCCUGCACCAAGCACAGCUGCAGUUGCAGGGCUGUGCAAGCGGUGACCCGACCCAUCCUGUGCAUGGGCAACUGAGGGGGCUUUUGGCAGUGCCUCACCUGUGGCAGGUUUUUUAGGGAUUCCUAAGGAGUUAAAGAGAAAAAAAUCAGUUAUUUUGAUAGUAGAUCAAGUAUCAAAGGAAUAAAAAUAACCAGGUACUUUUGCA
RNAcentral lists this long non-coding RNA (1119 nucleotides) under Calidris pygmaea (Spoon-billed sandpiper). Its description in RNAcentral is "lncRNA (ENSCPGG00000013684.1)". The record is from RNAcentral. Lineage: Eukaryota; Metazoa; Chordata; Aves; Charadriiformes; Scolopacidae.